This is a long non-coding RNA of Helianthus annuus (common sunflower), 1129 nucleotides long. RefSeq lists it as uncharacterized. Lineage: Eukaryota; Viridiplantae; Streptophyta; Magnoliopsida; Asterales; Asteraceae. The transcript has 5 exons. The record is from RefSeq and is a predicted model, not a curated record.
AAACGAGAGAGAAGAGAGAAACACUCCUUUCCUUCUUUGCAAAGCUGGUGGUCACAGAUUUCACUGAAUCUAUUUGGCACCAUGCUUUGAAUUUUGAAAUUCAGAUUCCACUCUUAAUUCUCUCACAAUUUUUACAUCUUGCUAGAGUCGUAGAGAAGUUGUGUGUUUCGGCUACUAGCGGCGGCGAUGGCGACUACACCCACUAGCAGAGAUACCGGAUCUAGCGGAUUUGGUGGUGAUGGCGGCUAGGGUUUCGCGGCAAGCGGCGAAGAAAGCCGUUUUGUGGUUGUUCAGACCCGACCUAAAAAGGACCACCGUUCCAGCUUUCUUCCACAUCAAUGUUUAGCGACCAUGAAGAGGGAAGAACUGAGAGAAAAAAAGUGUGUGAGAGAGAGAAGGGUGGGGGGGGGAGGAGAGACGAGAGAGAAGAUAGAGGUGGCACAUGGAACUAAGGUUCCGACGACGACAAGCUAGCACUGUGUUAUUGGUGGUGGUAGCGGAUGGUGAUGGCAUAAGGUUUUAGGGUUCUGGUGUUCAAGUGACAUCAGAGACGGUGAGGGAAACAAUUUACAUCUUUUUCAUUGCCAAGCAUCAGGGUUUCUCGACCUUCAGUCUCCAAAAUGUUAUCACUAAGUGGCAAAGACAUAAACAUGUAGUAUAGUAUUUGGGUCCAUGGUUGUUGUAUUUCAGCUUGUUGACAGAUUGGAUGAAGGGAUUAUUUCACCAGAUCUUGGAACACUUGAUUACAAAGGUCUUUACAAGACAAUGUGUGUGAUGUGGUUGAAGUGGCCGGGCGAAUCGUUAUGUCAACAACAUUAACUGUUACAGCCGAUCUUACUCAUAAGCAAGGGUGGAUGUUGCGGGGCAUGAAAUCGGGAUAGCGUGGGCAGUUUUCAAGAUCCAGAAGGCAGAGCGUUCUGAAACCGACGAAUCUCAUGAAAGCUCCAAGUCGGCUUCCUCCAAAUCAUAGUCGUGAAUGAGCCAUGGUUCUUGAUAUAUCUAACUACUAAUAAACUGUAACCAGUUUAAUGUAAUUAUUACUAAUAAACUGUAACUAAUUUGAUGUAUGUAAUUACUAAGUUGGGUUUGUCCAAAUAUAUGUAAAUACCAUGAAACAGGAUAUGAGGAA